Molecule: ribosomal RNA, 304 nt
Filed under: uncultured bacterium
Lineage: Bacteria
Description: partial 16S ribosomal RNA
Rfam family: Bacterial small subunit ribosomal RNA
Source: RNAcentral
CAGCAGCCGCCACGGUAAAACGAAGGGUGCAAGCGUUAAUCGGAAUUACUGGGCGUAAAGCGUGCGUAGGCGGUGAGUUAAGUCUGCUGUGAAAUCCCCAGGCUCAACCUGGGAAUGGUAGUGGAUACUGGCUCGCUAGAGUGUGUCGGAGGAUGGUGGAAUUCCCGGUGUAGCGGUGAAAUGCGUAGAGAUCGGGAGGAACAUCAGUGGCGAAGGCGGCCAUCUGGGACAACACUGACGCUGAGGCACGAAAGCGUGGGGAGCAAACAGGAUUAGAUACCCCCGUAGUCCCUGUCUCUUAUAC